CUCUUCUCCAGCUCUGAUAGGGCUGAUGUAACAAUGGCCUCAUGGGUCUCUUUGUGGCUCUUUCCUUCCUUCCUCUCCACAUACACAUGUCACCUUUUCCCCCAAUGACAUGACAGAGGGCCAUUUCACCUAGCAAUGGCACAUCUGGUGACAUCAUAGAGGAUCAAUUCAACUAGCAACAGCCUUUGCGGUACAAACAGAAAGAUAGACUUUGCGUUUUAAAAAGAUGGUUCACAUGGCUUCCCCUCCUUCAAAACAUGGAAAUGUUCCUGGAAAGAAGGAAAUGACUGCAUAAAGAAUUCUAGGUCCAAAUAUCAGUUGAGCAACCAACUGUCCUGUUUCAGUUUGUGCCUGGAUGAGAAGCUCUGACUGAGACUAGAUGCCUGCCACUUGCUGCUUCCUGUCCUUCCCUGUGGAUUUCAAACAAUCCAAGACAAGGCAUCCCUUCAGAUUUAUCAGGAAAUUCAGAAUACACAUUGAACUUCUAAAAUUUUGAGAACAACAAUUGGACUGAGUAGGGAGGAGAAGUUGACUUUAAGUUCCAAAAGAAGAGUGGGAAAUUAUUUUUAAGCACUGUUGGUCAUGCUACCUUGAGGAUUCUAGAAAUGGUAAUCCAAUAAAGGCUCUUUUCUCAGGCUUUAAAUAUAUGCAACAACAGAGAAAUCACGCAGAAGAUGAAGGGCUGUAUAUGGUUCUAGAUUUUCAAUACAAAGAAGGAACAAGUGAUCGAGAAAAGAUAUGAGCAAAGGCCAAAUUAUAACCAGGAGGUGCAGAUUCUGUUUGAAUUUCCUCAACACUUCUGUCUAAUUUGGGGAAUAGCUUGUAGGAAGGACUUGGGCAUUUUUUUUGAAUUUCUACUUUUAAAAAACUCUUAAAAUUAAAAACAUCAUAAGAGCCAAAAUCCAA
This is a long non-coding RNA of Anolis carolinensis (green anole), 906 nucleotides long. RefSeq lists it as uncharacterized. The transcript is spliced from 2 exons. NCBI's taxonomy places the organism in Eukaryota, Metazoa, Chordata, Lepidosauria, Squamata, Anolidae. The record is from RefSeq and is a predicted model, not a curated record.